CUCUCUUGAGUGGAUCCUGAGUACGACGGAGCACGUGAAAUUCCGUCGGAAUCUGGGAGGACCAUCUCCUAAGGCUAAAUACUCUCUAGUGACCGAUAGUGAACCAGUACCGUGAGGGAAAGGUGAAAAGUACCCCGGAAGGGGAGUGAAAGAGAACUUGAAACCGUGUGCUUACAAGUAGUCAGAGCCCGUUAAUGGGUGAUGGCGUGCCUUUUGUAGAAUGAACCGGCGAGUUACGAUCUGAUGCAAGGUUAAGCAGAAAAUGUGGAGCCGUAGCGAAAGCGAGUCUGAAUAGGGCGAAUGAGUAUUUGGUCGUAGACCCGAAACCAGGUGAUCUACCCUUGGUCAGGUUGAAGUUCAGGUAACACUGAAUGGAGGACCGAACCGACUUACGUUGAAAAGUGAGCGGAUGAACUGAGGGUAGCGGAGAAAUUCCAAUCGAACUUGGAGAUAGCUGGUUCUCUCCGAAAUAGCUUUAGGGCUAGCCUCAAGUGAUGAUUAUUGGAGGUAGAGCACUGUUUGGACGAGGGGCCCCUCUCGGGUUACCGAAUUCAGACAAACUCCGAAUGCCAAAUAAUUUAACUUGGGAGUCAGAAUGUGGGUGAUAAGGUCCAUAUUCGAAAGGGAAACAGCCCAGACCACCAGCUAAGGUCCCAAAAUAUAUGUUAAGUGGAAAAGGAUGUGGCGUUGCCCAGACAACUAGGAUGUUGGCUUAGAAGCAGCCAUCAUUUAAAGAGUGCGUAAUAGCUCACUAGUCGAGUGACACUGCGCCGAAAAUGUACCGGGGCUAAACAUAUUACCGAAGCUGUGGAUUGUCCUUUGGACAAUGGUAGGAGAGCGUUCUAAGGGCGUUGAAGCAUGAUCGCAAGGACAUGUGGAGCGCUUAGAAGUGAGAAUGCCGGUGUGAGUAGCGAAAGACGGGUGAGAAUCCCGUCCACCGAUUGACUAAGGUUUCCAGAGGAAGGCUCGUCCGCUCUGGGUUAGUCGGGUCCUAAGCUGAGGCCGACAGGCGUAGGCGAUGGAUAACAGGUUGAUAUUCCUGUACCACCAUUAUUCGUUUUAAGCGAUGGGGGGACGCAGUAGGAUAGGCGAAGCGUGCUGUUGGAGUGCACGUCCAAGCAGUGAGAUUGAGUGUUAGGCAAAUCCGGCACUCUUAAGAUUGAGCUGUGAUGGGGAGAGGAACUUGUUCCUCGAGUCGUUGAUUUCACACUGCCGAGAAAAGCCUCUAGCUAGAAUAACGGUGCCCGUACCGCAAACCGACACAGGUAGUCAAGAUGAGAAUUCUAAGGUGAGCGAGCGAACUCUCGUUAAGGAACUCGGCAAAAUGACCCCGUAACUUCGGGAGAAGGGGUGCUCUUUGAGGUUCACGCUUCGAAGAGCCGCAGUGAAUAGGCCCAAGCGACUGUUUAUCAAAAACACAGGUCUCUGCUAAACCGUAAGGUGACGUAUAGGGGCUGACGCCUGCCCGGUGCUGGAAGGUUAAGAGGAGUGGUUAGCGCAAGCGAAGCUACGAAUCGAAGCCCCAGUAAACGGCGGCCGUAACUAUAACGGUCCUAAGGUAGCGAAAUUCCUUGUCGGGUAAGUUCCGACCCGCACGAAAGGCGUAACGAUUUGGGCACUGUCUCAACGAGAGACUCGGUGAAAUCAUAGUACCGGUGAAGAUGCCGGUUACCCGCGACAGGACGGAAAGACCCCGUGGAGCUUUACUGUAGCCUGAUAUUGAAAUUCGGUACAGUUUGUACAGGAUAGGUAGGAGCCUUAGAAGCGUGAGCGCUAGCUUACGUGGAGGCAUUGGUGGGAUACUACCCUAAUUGUAUUGGAUUUCUAACCCGCAGCACUUAUCGUGCUGGGAGACAGUGUCAGGCGGGCAGUUUGACUGGGGCGGUCGCCUCCUAAAGAGUAACGGAGGCGCUCAAAGGUUCCCUCAGAAUGGUUGGAAAUCAUUCAUAGAGUGUAAAGGCAUAAGGGAGCUUGACUGCGAGACCUACAAGUCGAGCAGGGUCGAAAGACGGACUUAGUGAUCCGGUGGUUCCGCAUGGAAGGGCCAUCGCUCAACGGAUAAAAGCUACCCCGGGGAUAACAGGCUUAUCUCCCCCAAGAGUUCACAUCGACGGGGAGGUUUGGCACCUCGAUGUCGGCUCAUCGCAUCCUGGGGCUGUAGUCGGUC
Molecule: ribosomal RNA, 2167 nt
Filed under: Staphylococcus pseudintermedius
Lineage: Bacteria; Bacillati; Bacillota; Bacilli; Caryophanales; Staphylococcaceae
Description: partial 23S ribosomal RNA
Rfam family: Bacterial large subunit ribosomal RNA
Source: RNAcentral